ACUUUAGCAGAGUAGAUAUGAUGG
RNAcentral lists this non-coding RNA (24 nucleotides) under Arabidopsis thaliana (thale cress). The record is from RNAcentral. Lineage: Eukaryota; Viridiplantae; Streptophyta; Magnoliopsida; Brassicales; Brassicaceae.